AUUUAGCGGCGGACGGGUGAGUAACACGUGGGCAACCUGCCUUAUAGAGGGGGAUAGCCUUCCGAAAGGAAGAUUAAUACCGCAUAACAUCAUUUUACCGCAUGGUAGUUUGAUCAAAGGAGCAAUCCGCUAUAAGAUGGGCCCGCGGCGCAUUAGCUAGUUGGUGAGGUAACGGCUCACCAAGGCGACGAUGCGUAGCCGACCUGAGAGGGUAAUCGGCCACAUUGGGACUGAGACACGGCCCAGACUCCUACGGGAGGCAGCAGUGGGGAAUAUUGCACAAUGGGGGAAACCCUGAUGCAGCAACGCCGCGUGAGUGAUGAAGGCCUUCGGGUUGUAAAGCUCUGUCUUUGGGGACGAUAAUGACGGUACCCAAGGAGGAAGCCACGGCUAACUACGUGCCAGCAGCCGCGGUAAUACGUAGGUGGCAAGCGUUGUCCGGAUUUACUGGGCGUAAAGGGAGCGUAGGUGGAUAUUUAAGUGGGAUGUGAAAUCCCCGGGCUUAACCUGGGGGCUGCAUUCCAAACUGGAUGUCUAGAGUGCAGGAGAGGAGAGUGGAAUUCCUAGUGUAGCGGUGAAAUGCGUAGAGAUUAGGAAGAACACCAGUGGCGAAGGCGACUCUCUGGACUGUAACUGACACUGAGG
RNAcentral lists this ribosomal RNA (645 nucleotides) under uncultured bacterium. RNAcentral's name for it is "bacterial SSU rRNA". It matches the Rfam family "Bacterial small subunit ribosomal RNA", at positions 90 to 751 of the family's 1533-position model. The record is from RNAcentral.